GAAACCAACAGGGAUUGCCCUAGUAACGGCGAGUGAAGCGGCAACAGCUCAAAUUUGAAAUCUGGCCCUUGGGUCCGAAUUGUAAUUUGUAGAGGAUGUUUUUGGUGCGGUAUCUUCCGAGUUCCUUGGAACAGGACGCCUUAGAGGGUGAGAGCCCCGUACGGUUGAAUGCCUAGCCUUUGUAAAACUCCUUCGACGAGUCGAGUAGUUUGGGAAUGCUGCUCUAAAUGGGAGGUAAAUUUCUUCUAAAGCUAAAUACUGGCCAGAGACCGAUAGCGCACAAGUAGAGUGAUCGAAAGAUGAAAAGCACUUUGAAAAGAGGGUUAAAUAGCACGUGAAAUUGUUGAAAGGGAAGGAUUUAUGACCAGACUUUUUCUAGGCGAAUCAUCCGGUGUUCUCACCGGUGCACUUCGUUUAGUUUAGGCCAGCAUCGAUUUUCGGGGCGGGAUAAAAGCUUUAGGAAUGUGGCUCCUUUCGGGGAGUGUUAUAACCUGUUGUAUAAUACCGCCCUGGGGAUCGAGGUACGCGCUUCUGCAAGGAUGCUGGCGUAAUGGUUAUCAAUCACCCGCCUUGAAACACGGACCAAGGAGUCGAACAUUUGUGCAAGUGUUUGGGUGUUAAACCCUCACGCGUAAUGAAAGUGAACGGAGGUGAGAGCCCUUACGGGUGCAUCAUCGACCGAUCCUGAUGUCUUCGGAUGGAUUUGAGUAAGAGCAUAACUGUUCGGACCCGAAAGAUGGUGAACUAUGCGUGGAUAGGGUGAAGCCAGAGGAAACUCUGGUGGAGGCUCGCAGCGGUUCUGACGUGCAAAUCGAUCGUCAAAUCUGCGCAUGGGGGCGAAAGACUAAUCGAACCAUCUAGUAGCUGGUUACCG
This 874-nucleotide ribosomal RNA is filed under the name Seimatosporium leptospermi. RNAcentral describes it as "LSU rRNA". It matches the Rfam family "Eukaryotic large subunit ribosomal RNA", at positions 61 to 960 of the family's 3401-position model. The record is from RNAcentral. Lineage: Eukaryota; Fungi; Ascomycota; Sordariomycetes; Amphisphaeriales; Sporocadaceae.